RNAcentral lists this non-coding RNA (30 nucleotides) under Mus musculus (house mouse). The record is from RNAcentral. Lineage: Eukaryota; Metazoa; Chordata; Mammalia; Rodentia; Muridae.
UAAGAGGGAAUUCUCCAUCCUUGGUCAUUU